RNAcentral lists this ribosomal RNA (427 nucleotides) under uncultured bacterium. RNAcentral describes it as "partial 16S ribosomal RNA". It matches the Rfam family "Bacterial small subunit ribosomal RNA", at positions 354 to 797 of the family's 1533-position model. The record is from RNAcentral.
GUGGGGGAUAUUGCGCAAUGGGGGCAACCCUGACGCAGCAACGCCGCGUGAAGGAUGAAGGUUUUCGGAUUGUAAACUUCUUUUAUUAAGGACGAAAAAUGACGGUACUUAAUGAAUAAGCUCCGGCUAACUACGUGCCAGCAGCCGCGGUAAUACGUAGGGAGCAAGCGUUGUCCGGAUUUACUGGGUGUAAAGGGUGCGUAGGCGGCUUUGCAAGUCAGAUGUGAAAUCUAUGGGCUCAACCCAUAAACUGCAUUUGAAACUGUAGAGCUUGAGUGAAGUAGAGGCAGGCGGAAUUCCCCGUGUAGCGGUGAAAUGCGUAGAGAUGGGGAGGAACACCAGUGGCGAAGGCGGCCUGCUGGGCUUUAACUGACGCUGAGGCACGAAAGCGUGGGUAGCAAACAGGAUUAGAAACCCGUGUAGUCCC